CCUACGGGUGGCAGCAGUGAGGAAUAUUGGUCAAUGGCCGAGAGGCUGAACCAGCCAAGUCGCGUGAGGGAAGACGGCCCUACGGGUUGUAAACCUCUUUUGUCGGGGAGCAAAGCGAGUCACGUGUGACUCAUUGAGAGUACCCCAAGAAAAAGCAUCGGCUAACUCCGUGCCAGCAGCCGCGGUAAUACGGAGGAUGCGAGCGUUAUCCGGAUUUAUUGGGUUUAAGGGGUGCGAGGGCGGGGGUGAAAGUCGGCGGUAAAAUCGCGGGCCUAAACCCCGUACUGCCGUUGAAACUGCAUCCCUUGAGUGCGCGAGAAGUAUGCGGAAUGCGUGGUGUAGCGGUGAAAUGCAUAGAUAUCACGCAGAACUCCGAUUGCGAAGGCAGCAUACCGGCGCGCAACUGACGCUCAUGCACGAAAGCGUGGGUAUCGAACAGGAUUAGAUACCCGGGUAGUC
Molecule: ribosomal RNA, 459 nt
Filed under: uncultured bacterium
Lineage: Bacteria
Description: partial 16S ribosomal RNA
Rfam family: Bacterial small subunit ribosomal RNA
Source: RNAcentral